Long non-coding RNA from Dreissena polymorpha, 2019 nucleotides. RefSeq lists it as uncharacterized. The record is from RefSeq and is a predicted model, not a curated record. The transcript is spliced from 4 exons. NCBI's taxonomy places the organism in Eukaryota, Metazoa, Mollusca, Bivalvia, Myida, Dreissenidae.
AUGGUACCGUCAUUUAUUUUUGGCAUAGAAAUUACAUUAUUUCUAAAGAAAGAGAUUUAGCUUGUUGAGCAAAUAAUUAAUUUUCAUUGAAUAUUUUUGAUCAACCAAUAAAAUAUACUUCAUAUUUAAAUCAAUAUUUUUAUUGGAAAAUCACUUUUCACAAAUACGAAUAUGCGGUCGAAAACUGAAAGCCAUCAGAAUUCAAGAUGGUUCAGACAAAAACCAGUGCUAGCGCUAAAAAAAGACUAAAAAAACAAGAGAUGCAAGGUACAGGUGUAAUAAAAGGGAAAGGAUACUAGACAUUGGUAUUCAUUGUGAACGAUGGAGAAGAGUUAAAGAAGCUACUGGGAUUGAAAAGGACGAUAAAAUGAUGGAAAUAUUGAUCGAUGCAACUACUUCUGAACUAGAGAGCUUCAACAUUUAUAUUUUGAUGUAUGCUCCAAAGAGAAAUGCUUUCAGCUAUGCUGUUUAUAGAUGCAGGUGUCAGUUAGCAGCAAUAGAUUAUUCAAAACACUUGAAUCGUCCUGUUUUGUUGGACAAAGAAGGAAAUUAGAGGGGAAAGAGUGCACUCAAAAGCUGCUGGUAAUUGGAGCACAAGACCUAUGAAAAAACCCAAGGAGUAUACAUACAUAACCGGUUUGAUCACUGAAGUUACAAAUGAAUUCACCAUAGGCAAGAAAAGAAUAAGUGGCAAAUGUGAACAGCUGUCUUGACCCCAAAAGAAUUAGGUCAACUAUAGUCCUUGUCACACCUCCACCUUCAUCGAUACUUAGUGAUCAGCAUGUCUCUAGAUUGAGAAAAGCGAAAAAAAAGAAUUGUUGCCCAAGACGUGUUUGAUGUUCAUUUGAAGUUGACGCAGAAGUUAUCUUUGUUAGAUAACUAUUAAGUUUCACAUCUUUAGUGUUAAUAUAAUUUUAGAAGUGUUUUGAAAAUGUACAAUCUUACAUAAUGUUAUAAAUAAUGAAUGCUCUUGGUUGUACAAUGCAAUGACAUUUUUCAGGAAGUUUUAAUAUUGAAUUUAGCAUGAAAUAUUUUUAUGUCCCCCACUAUAGUAGAGGGGGACAUAUUGUUUUUGCCCUGUCUGUUGGUCUGUCUGUCUGUCUGUUUGCGCCAACUUUAACAUUUUGCAAUAACUUUUGCCAUAUUGAAGAUAGCAACUUGAUAUUUGGCAUGCAUAUGUAUCUCAUGGAGCUGCACAUUUUGAGUGGUGAAAGAUCAAGGUCAAGGUCAUCCUUCAAGGUCAAAGGUCAAAUAAAUGGGUCAAAAUCGCUAAUUUAAUGUACACUUUUGCAGUAUUUUAAUUUUCAAGAUAGCAACUUGAUAUUUGGCAUGCAUGUGUAUCUCAUGGAGCUGCACAUUUUGAGUGGUGAAAGGUCAAGGUCAUCCUUCAAGGUCAGAGGUCAAAUAUAUGUGGCCAAAAUCGCUUAUUUUAUGAAUACUUUUGCAAUAUUGAAGAUAGCAACUUGAUAUUUGGCAUGCAUGUGUAUCUCAUGGAGCUGCACAUUUUGAGUGGUGAAAGGUCAAGGUCAGAGGUCAAAUAUAUUUGGCCCAAAUCGGUUAUUUUAUGAAUACUUUUGCAAUAUGGAAGAUAGCAACUUGAUAUUUGGCAUGCAUGUGUAUCUCAUUGAGCUGCACAUUUUGAGUGGUGAAAGGUCAAGGUCAUCCUUCAAGGUCAAGUAUAUGGGUCAAAAUUGCGCAUGUAAGGUCUCUUCUGCAAUAUUGAAGCUAGCAAUUUUAUAUUUGAAAUGCAUGUGUAUCUCAAGGAGCUGCACAUUUUGAGUGGUGAAGGGUCAAGGUCAAGGUCAUCCUACGAGGUCAACAUCAUAUACGGGGACAUUGUGUUUCUCAAACACAUCUUGUUUUAUUUUUAAUAUAUUUUGUGCGAUUUUUAUCAAUACAUUUUUACACAUAUAAAGAACACAAUUUUUCUUACAAAAAGUUUCGUUUUUUGUUUGAUUAUCGAUACGUGUUUUUCAUUGUUUUCUUUAUAGCCUGUAUUUAAUAAACCAUUGUAGUCAA